Clupea harengus (Atlantic herring) is the source of this 158-nucleotide small nuclear RNA. RefSeq annotates it as U1 spliceosomal RNA. The transcript has a single exon. Lineage: Eukaryota; Metazoa; Chordata; Actinopteri; Clupeiformes; Clupeidae. The record is from RefSeq and is a predicted model, not a curated record.
AAACAAAGUGUAGACGCUAGACUAAUCAGAAGGCGUAACUGUCUAGAAUAACUGUUGACAUUGCCCUACUGUAGACAGAACCUCUGCGAAUUCCUCAAAUGUAGGAAUCUCGACUGCACAAUUUCUGGUAGUGGGGAACUGCGUUCGCGCUCUCCCCU